UUUCUCAAAAUAGAUCUUUUUUAAAAUGAAUGAAUGUGCUCUAUUCUGACUGCAAAGUUCUCCCUCUUUUGAAACUUGUCAAAGUCUGCUGUGCACUGCAGGCAAGGACCUGCCAUGGAUGCUAAAAUUGGGGGCAAAAGUGUGAUAGGAAAUACGGUAUUUGCAUAGUCUCAAAGGUACUUAGUGGUUACAGUAGGACAUAGUCACUCUCAAGUGGAAAACCUGGAAGACACCACUCUAUUCAAGACGGAAGUCACCGUCCCCCGUGAGAAGACACGCGGAUACCAGGUACCCUUGAUGCAGAGCACUGAGAGGACACAGCGUCACUGUGGUGAGAAAAAAGCACACAGCAUCUCCGAGGGCCCCAGAGACACGGGCAGCCGGUUUAGAUUUCCAAGUCGGCAUGACCGUACGGAAACUGAACCAGAAACCUGACUCAUGGCCCAACACCCCACGCAUCCAAGGUGCACCUGCUUUGUGAACGACUGAGCUGAAGGGAAACCAUCUUGCCCUAGAGAUUCCACAAGAUGCAAAUAAAAAAGCACAUAACCCUGCAAAAGCUAUUCAUUCUCCAGAGUGUAACUUGGGCUCAAAGAAAACUCUUUCUGACUUUGAUUCUCAAAGUUGGCUCAUUUUGCAUCAAUAGUUUUCUUCCUGACCCCAAACCACAACAUCAACCCGAUCAGGAGGAAACCCCCCCCCCAGCCCCAAAGAGAACCGGUCCUCAAAAAACGGUGAUCUAUACUCUUUAAAGGGAUCAAGGUCCUGAAAAACAAAGGCUGAGAGACAGACUGCACAGCCGUGUGGGAGAGGCGGGACCAGAAAGAUGACUUUACUGAGACAAUGGUGAGUGAGUCAGUCCUGUGGGUCAGCGCGUGUGUUAUAAAGCAAGAUUCACUUCUUGCUUCUGAAAACUGCUGUCUCUGCUCCGUAUAGUGCCAACAUCUGGGAAAAGUUUGCGCAAACUGUGCUAUCUUUGGAACCUAAACUUAUCUCAGAAUAAAAAGUUUUAAGUGCUAGAAAAGAAAAAAAAAAAGCCAGCCAGGAACGUGGGGAAUGGAUGUCUUCAUCUCGUACACACAUCACCCCGUCACGUCUGCCCCACAGAGGCGAAGCCGGGUGUGUCUGUCCGACCACACCCAGGACUGUGUCCGGUGCUGACGGUGUGGAGGACAGCUGUGAACAGCUCAGUAGGUACAAAUCAGGAACAGAAGUAUGCUUAUUUACUCCACAGAUAAUAAGGGCCAUUGUAUUUCCAUACAGUAGCUCAUAGAGCCACUUCUCACCCUUGUCCUGCUGUGAAGGCAGAAAAAUCCCUGUUUCUGGAUCCUGUGUGUUGCUCCCUCCACAGACUCUAGGGGAGGACCCUUCCUGCCUCCCCCAGGCUCCCGACACGCCGUGGGUACAGGUGGCCUCUCAGCCAUCUCUGCCUACCCCCUGUCCACUGAGUCUUCACCUGCUGUCCUCUUUGCCUUGCCCUCGGUCUCCCAGUUUUCUUACAAGGGCACCAGCCAUUGGAUUUAGCCCCCCCCCACCCCAUCCCCCUAGUAACCUCUCUUAACUAUCCACAGGUGCCAAGACCCUAUUUCCAAAUUAAUGGCUCCUUCCCAGGUUCCAGAUGGUCGUGACUUUCAGGAGACACUAUGGAUCCCACUACCGAAGGGGGGAGGAAGAUAAAAUCAGUAACGUCUCAUGAGUGGUUACUCCGAGCCUCAGACUCUGCAUCCGCCUUUAGCAAACCCUAAAACAGUGCUGCAAGGGAGGUGCAACGGCGAAGACCGGACCCACUGUUGCCCGUCUGCCUGCAAGGACACAGACGUGGAGCAGACGUGGAGAGAACCACUGGGGUGCCCAGGGCAGGUGCAUCAGGAACACAAGCACAGACAGACUAGCUCUGGGAGCAGGUGUGGGUCACCAAUGAGGGAAGAAAGGAGCUGAGUACCUCGCUGCGGAAGAAGGAACCCUUCGACAUGGAGGAAAAAGCCCCUUGCCUUCCCCACGCCAAGCAAACCAGACACUGCACAGCUGUGGAGUCACAGAUGUCAGGCGCAAGUGUUGUCCAAGGUCUUGGCUCUAAGAGACGUGAUACUCGGUCUUUUUCUCUGGCUCCAGCAAGAUGAGAACCCGCAGCGUGAAGGAAGGAGAGAUAAUGCCAGCCUUUUGCAGUGACUUUGGAUAGAAAAAGUGAGGCUAAUUGUGGGAGAGAUUUAAGUUAGUGUACUAAUUAGAGAUAGCAUAGUAAUAGCACUAUAGCUCGCCCUGGGGCUGGAAUGCUGUCCCAAACAUGUCGCACUGAUUAACUCAUUUACUCCUUAAAAAAAAAAAAAAACCAAAACCUCAAAAGCCCUGGAGAUUGCCUCCCCGCAGAGAAGGCCAGAGAGAGAUGUCCCGCAGCCAGUCCCAUGCCGCACAGCCCAUAGGAGGGAGGUGUGCCUCUGUGCCCGGCAUUUGGCCUCCAAGUCUGCUCUGGGGCUGCUUGCAAACAUCUAUGUGGUCCCAGACCUGCUGCAGGAGGAAACCGCGGCUGCAGAGAGCAGGAUCAGAGACGGACUCCACGGAGGGUCCGUGGCCACACCAUGUAUGUGGGACCAGAGAACUCUGACCCACAACCUCUACACGACCAUCUGGAAGCCACACCGUGGCCCCAGGGCGGGACCCGUCAGGAGUUGGCCGUGACUGCCCACUUCUCUUCCCCUCCUAACUCGGGACAGCCGUCCCUGAAAUCAACCCCACAGGAUGCCUGGCUUGUGAGCCCGCCCACAGUGUCCAUGGAGCUCACCGCACCUUCCUUCUCUUCCGUGACAAAGCUGCCCCCAUCCUGGCCUGCUGUGGGUCUUUGCCCAUCCCCGGGGCUGCCGGGGGCCAGCUUUGUUCGCUUUCCUUCGGAUUCUCUUUGCUUAUCCUCCCGGGUGUAGCCUCCUGUCCAUAAAAUCGCAGCGCGUGAGGACCGGGGUCCAGCAGGGAGAGAGCGUGUCAGACCCAAGGAGGCAUGUGUUGUAA
Molecule: long non-coding RNA, 3000 nt
Organism: Enhydra lutris kenyoni (northern sea otter)
Lineage: Eukaryota; Metazoa; Chordata; Mammalia; Carnivora; Mustelidae
Exons: 3
Source: RefSeq, a predicted model, not a curated record